GUUUCAGAAAUCCCUUAUCAAUACAUGCAUGACAUUUAGAUCUCUUCAAACAAAAGAUGACUCAUCUUAGGUGGUUCGAU
Molecule: long non-coding RNA, 80 nt
Organism: Telopea speciosissima
Lineage: Eukaryota; Viridiplantae; Streptophyta; Magnoliopsida; Proteales; Proteaceae
Exons: 2
Source: RefSeq, a predicted model, not a curated record